UCAGUCUUCUACGUUCGUUUGGAACCUCACAUCCUGGACCUGUAGAUGUCAUGUACAAAAUCAAACUCAUCUUGGUAGGAGCAAACCCAAAAAAUGCUCUCAGUGUCAUUAAUCCUUCAGUAGAGAUGGAGACACCCUAAGGAAGUGAAGAAAAGGAUACAGAAUUGGUUUCUUCAUUGAUUUCUUCCCAGGUUCUAGAUGAAGAUAAACAGAAUGAGAUAUUGCAGCCUGGUAUUAUUCUACUAGAGGACCAAGUUGAGGUUCAAACUCUAGACCAGUUGGGUCAGUUGCAGAAGAAAUCUGCAAAUGAGGCAGUAAGUUACAUUGCCGGAUAUAUUGCCAAGAAAUUGUGUAACAAAAUUGAAGGCCUCAUAUCUGAAACCACAACCAGUAGCUGGAUNAAGUUU
Molecule: long non-coding RNA, 407 nt
Organism: Eurytemora carolleeae
Lineage: Eukaryota; Metazoa; Arthropoda; Copepoda; Calanoida; Temoridae
Exons: 2
Source: RefSeq, a predicted model, not a curated record